AUUGAACGCUGGCGGCAUGCUUUACACAUGCAAGUCGAACGGUAACAGGGUGCUUGCACCGCUGACGAGUGGCGAACGGGUGAGUAAUGCAUCGGAAUGUACCGUGUAAUGGGGGAUAGCUCGGCGAAAGCCGGAUUAAUACCGCAUACGCCCUGAGGGGGAAAGUGGGGGACCGAAAGGCCUCACGUUAUACGAGCAGCCGAUGUCUGAUUAGCUAGUUGGUGAGGUAAAGGCUCACCAAGGCGUCGAUCAGUAGCGGGUAUGAGAGGAUGAUCCGCCACACUGGGACUGAGACACGGCCCAGACUCCUACGGGAGGCAGCAGUGGGGAAUUUUGGACAAUGGGCGCAAGCCUGAUCCAGCCAUGCCGCGUGUCUGAAGAAGGCCUUCGGGUUGUAAAGGACUUUUGUCCGGGAGCAAAUCCUAGUGGUUAAUAACCGCUGGGUCUGAGAGUACCGGAAGAAUAAGCACCGGCUAACUACGUG
This 484-nucleotide ribosomal RNA is filed under the name uncultured bacterium. RNAcentral describes it as "partial 16S ribosomal RNA". It matches the Rfam family "Bacterial small subunit ribosomal RNA", at positions 30 to 507 of the family's 1533-position model. The record is from RNAcentral.